This is a long non-coding RNA of Mauremys reevesii (Reeves's turtle), 461 nucleotides long. RefSeq lists it as uncharacterized. NCBI's taxonomy places the organism in Eukaryota, Metazoa, Chordata, Testudines, Geoemydidae. The record is from RefSeq and is a predicted model, not a curated record. The transcript is spliced from 4 exons.
GAAAGAAAGAAAGAAAGAAAGAAACCAGUUAACUGCCAAGUUCCUUUCAACAGCUGAUCUCAGAUUUCAGUGAUGAUGAGCAAUGAUCAGAUUCAACUACUCAGCUGAUGCCUGUUUGACCCUUCUGAGGAGCCAAUCCUGCAAGAUGCCCUGACUCAUCUCAGCAGAAAUUGAAGCACUUUGCAGCAUUAGAGUUUCCUGAAUACCCUCAGAAUGAGAGGAACUGGAGGGAAAGCGCAGAGCAGAUGAUAGGACCAGGGAGGAUGAAAGCUCCCUUGGGAUGCAAAGGCUUGCAGCAAAGAGGAGUGCCUCAUCGAGAUGGCUGUAGCCAUGGAGCAUCAAGCCAUGUCAGCAGCGUCAAUGGCCACUUGAAGCAAGGUUUGGGCAGUGAGGUGUCCUUCAGAAACUAUGGCCAAGUACUGUUCUCUGUAUUCCUCAGGCAAUUUGUCCGUAAAUUUGGA